Molecule: non-coding RNA, 874 nt
Organism: Podarcis muralis (Common wall lizard)
Lineage: Eukaryota; Metazoa; Chordata; Lepidosauria; Squamata; Lacertidae
Source: RefSeq, a predicted model, not a curated record
CCCUUUAUAAAGGUGGGUUUCUGAGCUCCAUACCUGACAAAAUUCCAUUAGGCAGUUAAAGAAGGACAUCCCGUGUGCUUUGCACUGCCAAACACCCCACCAGAAGUCCUUGAAAGAUUGUGAUCCUUCAGCCCAGAAAAUCUGUUUCAUCGACGAGGGACAUCUUGCAUGAGGCUUGGACUGCGUGCAUCCUUCACCAUGAAGCCUCUCCUGGGACUCCUCUUCUGCUCUCUGCUUCUCACUACAGGUACCUCCUUGCAGUGUGAAGUUUGCAGUGCCAUUGGGAAAACAUGUUCCAGUGAUAAAGUAGAUUGCCCUGCUGGAGAAGAUACCUGUGCCACUUAUUUGUAUGCACCUUCACCACCAAACAUCAACAUCACAACAUUCAGGAAAUUAUGCCUUACGGAGGCAGGAUGCAGAAAUGCAACCGAAGACAUAGGGAAGGUUUUUGAAAAUGUGGGACUUCUUAUAAAGGUUGAAUGUAACAAGGCCUCUGAGGCAGCUCCAUUCGUCUUCCUGACACUCUCUUGGCUCCUGUUGAUGAAGAUCCUCCUUUAAUGAACCACAUGCAGUGAAUUGGCACUGAAGAAGAGUUUCAUUCUUAUAUCCAUGCAACCUUCCCUGGACCUGACCAUGUGUCUGUCCAGAGGAAAUUGUUGUUUUAUAUUUCUUCAGUAAAAACAAAUAAAAAGAAAUCUGGAGGUGAAAAAGCAUGCAUUUCCAUGAAUGGAAUUGGCUUUUUUUGUUGCUAUUAUUCUACUCGCCCUUCAUGCUAUGAUGUAAAAAAUACAGGUAAAAAUGUUUGUGUAAAUUCAAGAUUUGACCGAUUUUCAUGAAACCCUGCUGUUCUUUGAGGAAAAUCAGACAAUAAAAC